CACCGCGGUUAUACGAGUGACACAAACUAAUAUUACACGGCGUUAAGGGUGAUUAGAAAUAUCUUACCCAAAUAAAGUUAAGACCCCAUUAAGCUGUUAUACGCUCUCAUGCCUAAAAAUAUCAUUCACGAAAGUAACUUUAUAUAUAACAGAGUAUUUGACCUCACGACAGUUAAGACCCAAACUAGGAUUAGAUACCCCACU
RNAcentral lists this ribosomal RNA (204 nucleotides) under Dasyatis marmorata (marbled stingray). Its description in RNAcentral is "partial small subunit ribosomal RNA". Lineage: Eukaryota; Metazoa; Chordata; Chondrichthyes; Myliobatiformes; Dasyatidae. The record is from RNAcentral.